Non-coding RNA from Myotis lucifugus (little brown bat), 163 nucleotides. Lineage: Eukaryota; Metazoa; Chordata; Mammalia; Chiroptera; Vespertilionidae. The record is from Rfam.
CUACUUACCUGGCAGGGGAGAUACCGUGGUCACGAGGGCGGUUUUCCCAGAGCGAGGCUUGUCCGUUGCCCUGUGGAUGUGCUGACCCCUGCGAUUUCCCCACAUGUGGGAAACGGGUCUGCAUAAUUUGCAGUAGGGAGGACUGCAUUCGCGCUCUCCCCUG